Molecule: ribosomal RNA, 253 nt
Filed under: uncultured Desulfocapsa sp.
Lineage: Bacteria; Pseudomonadati; Thermodesulfobacteriota; Desulfobulbia; Desulfobulbales; Desulfocapsaceae
Description: partial 16S ribosomal RNA
Rfam family: Bacterial small subunit ribosomal RNA
Source: RNAcentral
UACGGAGGGUGCAAGCGUUAUUCGGAAUUACUAAACGUAAAGCGCGCAUAAGCGGUUUGUUAAGUCAGAUGUGAAAGCCCAUGGCUCAACCAUGGACAUACAUUUGAAACUGGCAGACUUGAGUAUUGGAGAAAAUGGUGGAAUUCCCGGUGUAGAGGUGAAAUUCGUAGAUAUCGGGAGGAAUACCAGUGGCGAAGGCGACCACCUGGCCAAAUACUGACGCUGAGAUGCGAAAGCGUGGGAAGCAAACAGG